GCGCACCAGUCGAGAAACCUCCACAAUGUGGGAAACCACGAUGGGGGGAUUCCAAGUGGAUGCACUUUUGUGCAUCCUGUUCUCAAGUCUAAAAAACUUGAGAAGUAAGGGCCGGGUAAGACGGGUGCCAGCCGCCGCGGUAAUACCCGCGGCCCGAGUGGUGCUCAUUAUUAUUGAGCCUAAAGCGUCCGUAGCUGGCCGGGUAAAUCCCUGGGGAAAUCGGGCGACUCAAUCGACCGAAGUCCAGGGACACUACUUGGCUUGGGAUCGGGAGAGGGUGAUAGUACUCCCUGGGUAGGGGUAAAAUCCUGUAAUCCAGGGGGGACUACCAGUGGCGAAGGCGAUCACCUAGAACGAAUCCGACAGUGAGGGACGAAGCCCUAGGGCGCAAACGGGAUUAGAUACCCCCGUAGUCC
This 416-nucleotide ribosomal RNA is filed under the name uncultured bacterium. RNAcentral's name for it is "bacterial SSU rRNA". It matches the Rfam family "Archaeal small subunit ribosomal RNA", at positions 330 to 747 of the family's 1478-position model. The record is from RNAcentral.